GGAAUGUGGUGGAGUGGGAGAUGUGGGUGCAGCUGAGCAGUAGUGGCACUGCUUCUAGAGAUGGUUUUGCUAGCGACUGGAAUCUUCUAAAGGCGGAUAUUCAAGCCUUUGAAAAAUGGACAGGAAUAUAAUUCCCUCUACAAUUCCUUGAAAUCUUCUCACUCAUCCCAAAACACUGGGCUUAUGGAGUCAAAAUGAGCACUGCAGAAAAUAAAUGCGCAUGCUGCAUUUGCUGCCCUGGAUUAACACAAAAUGAGAAUCCAGAAGGCUAAGGAAUUUCUUGGGGUGCAAGCCACCGGAGGAGACUGUAGUCUUCCUCUCCAUUUCCUUCUGGGCCAUACCCAUGUGUGCUGAACUGUUUGGUCACCCCCCAAAACUGCUGGCCUGACCAAGAUGCCUUCAAACACCAGGACUCCUGCCUCGCACAGGAGGGCUGUAUCUCUGGUGCCUGCUUUUCUCUCUGUUCCCUCUCAGAGCUGGGACUUGCUUUCAUGGAAGCAUGCAGGAACAUUGCUGUGCAUUCCCGUACCAUUACUGGUAAGGAAGGUGCAGCUUCUGUGCUAAAGAUCUCCAGCUUUAAUGUGGAACUGGAGCAGCAAGGGCUGUCAGUGAUGUCUGCUGGGCUCAAGCUGCUCUCCUGGGCUGCCUGUGGGCUCUGGAAGAGAAGCAGUGUUUGCUGCCCAAGGAUGCUGUCAUCCUUCUCUCCAUCUCCUUCUGGGCCAUACCUGUGUGUGCUGAACUGUU
Long non-coding RNA from Numida meleagris (helmeted guineafowl), 744 nucleotides. RefSeq lists it as uncharacterized. The record is from RefSeq and is a predicted model, not a curated record. NCBI's taxonomy places the organism in Eukaryota, Metazoa, Chordata, Aves, Galliformes, Numididae. The transcript has 3 exons.